GCUUUGUUUGGUUGUUGUUCAAGACUUCUAAGCACCCUCAAGUACAGUAGUUGGUGUUAUAUGAUGAUGAUGUUGGUGAGCUGUCGCUUAGGAUGAUGAUCGUGACACUAGGGCGGACCUGUGCCUUAGAGACUUAAAAUAAAGAUGGAACUAGUUUAAUUAUGUUCUGAACUCUUUAUUUCCUGUUUUGAGACAAUGUAACACUCUUGUUUGAUGAAUAAAAUGUAACUUUAAUUUUCGUGGUUGUGAAACAAUAAUUCUGU
This 263-nucleotide long non-coding RNA is filed under the name Helianthus annuus (common sunflower). RNAcentral describes it as "sRNA HanXRQr2_Chr14g0631271". Lineage: Eukaryota; Viridiplantae; Streptophyta; Magnoliopsida; Asterales; Asteraceae. The record is from RNAcentral.